This 341-nucleotide ribosomal RNA is filed under the name uncultured bacterium. RNAcentral's name for it is "bacterial SSU rRNA". It matches the Rfam family "Bacterial small subunit ribosomal RNA", at positions 1 to 334 of the family's 1533-position model. The record is from RNAcentral.
CGAGUGCGUUCAGAGUUUGAUCCUGGCUCAGAUUGAACGCUGGCGGCAGGCUUAACACAUGCAAGUCGAACGGUAACAGGGAGAAGCUUGCUUCUUUGCUGACGAGUGGCGGACGGGUGAGUAAUGCUUGGGAAUCUGGCUUAUGGAGGGGGAUAACUACUGGAAACGGUAGCUAAUACCGCGUAAUGUCUGCGGACUAAAGGGUGGGACUUUCGGGCCACCUGCCAUAAGAUGAGCCCAAGUGAGAUUAGGUAGUUGGUGAGGUAAUGGCUCACCAAGCCGUCGAUCUCUAGCUGGUCUGAGAGGAUGACCAGCCACACUGGAACUGAGACACGGUCCAG